This 482-nucleotide ribosomal RNA is filed under the name uncultured bacterium. Its description in RNAcentral is "partial 16S ribosomal RNA". It matches the Rfam family "Bacterial small subunit ribosomal RNA", at positions 30 to 507 of the family's 1533-position model. The record is from RNAcentral.
AUUGAACGCUGGCGGCAUGCCUUACACAUGCAAGUCGAACGGUAACGGGCCUUCGGUUGCUGACGAGUGGCGAACGGGUGAGUAAUACAUCGGAACGUGCCCGAUCGUGGGGGAUAACGAGGCGAAAGCUUUGCUAAUACCGCAUACGAUCUACGGAUGAAAGCAGGGGACCGCAAUGCCUCGCGCGGGCGGAGCGGCCGAUGGCAGAUUAGGUAGUUGGUGGGAUAAAAGCUUACCAAGCCGACGAUCUGUAGCUGGUCUGAGAGGAUGAUCAGCCACACUGGGACUGAGACACGGCCCAGACUCCUACGGGAGGCAGCAGUGGGGAAUUUUGGACAAUGGGCGAAAGCCUGAUCCAGCCAUGCCGCGUGCAGGAUGAAGGCCUUCGGGUUGUAAACUGCUUUUGUACGGAACGAAAAGCCUUCUUCUAAUACAGAGGGGUCAUGACGGUACCGUAAGAAUAAGCACCGGCUAACUACGUG